UACAGAGGGUGCAAGCGUUGUUCGGAAUUAUUGGGCGUAAAGCGUGUGUAGGCGGCUUUGCAAGUCGGAUGUGAAAGCCCCGGGCUCAACCCGGGAAGUGCACUCGAUACUGCAGGGCUUGAGUGUCGGAGAGGUUGGUGGAAUUCUCGGUGUAGAGGUGAAAUUCGUAGAUAUCGAGAGGAACACCGGCGGCGAAGGCGGCCAACUGGACGAACACUGACGCUGAGACACGAAAGCGUGGGGAGCGAACAGG
RNAcentral lists this ribosomal RNA (253 nucleotides) under uncultured bacterium. RNAcentral describes it as "partial 16S ribosomal RNA". It matches the Rfam family "Bacterial small subunit ribosomal RNA", at positions 524 to 776 of the family's 1533-position model. The record is from RNAcentral.